AACUUUUUAAUAGGAAGUGUUUGUCUCUUUGUUUCAGCUUUUCUAAACUUCUAUUAUUCGAAUGAUAGUGUGAAGCAACAAGUGUAUCUCAAGCGGCCAAGUAAAAAAAGGUAAAAUGUACAUUUUUGUAAAAAGUAAAAUAAAAUAAAUACUGAACUAACUGGGCAUUGCACAAGUUCGUGUUGUUCUCUGACUGUUUAUGACGUCUUUACACUAAAUCAUUGGAUGUUGGAUGUGUACGGAUUGAUUGUUUAGUUUUAGAUGCAUGCUUUUUUUAUUAGCUGUUAGUGGCUUUGAACUAGGUGUCAGAUAACUGCGAGUACUCUCAGGUCUGUUCCUAGUGUCUUUUUGUUGUCGGGAUGUACAAGUACCCGGCCACGUCCACUUGUAUGUUUUGUCCAUCUGAUGUGUUAAGCUUUCAACUGAUUUUUAUAGUUCGUUCUUAUGCUGUACUGUUAUACCACUGUCCCAGGUUAAGGGGAGGCUAACAUGUUUAACCCCGCCACAUUAUUUAUGUAUGUGCCUGUCCCAAGUCAGGAGCCUGUAAUUCAGUGGUUGUCGUUUGUUUAUGUGUUACAUGUUUGUUUUUCGUUCAUUUUUUUAUAUAAAUGAGGCUGUUUGUUUUAUCGUUUGAAUUGUUUUACAUUGUCAUAUCGGGCCUUUUAUAGCUGAUUAUGCGGUAUGGGCUUUGCUCAUUGUUGAAGCCACAUACGGUGACCUUAGUUGUUAAUGUCUGUGUUAUUUUGGUCCUCUGGUGGACAGUUGUCUCAUUGGCAAUCAUACCACAUCUUCUUUUUUUUUUUUAUAUCAGAGGCAAAUCUAAGCGAAAAGUCCCUUCGAAAAUGGCAAAAUUUGAAGCUCAAGCCCACCAAACGAAGGGAUAACAUAAUGUCAUAUUUCUUUCUUUGUACAGGCAUUUUUUAUGUAAAAAGUGAUGAAUUAAACCUGGUUUAUAGCUAGCUAAACCUCUCCCUUAUAUGACUGCAUUAAGCUUACAUGCUCAUUGUAUCGUCGCUCCAAGCCUUUUGGCGCUGAAGGUAUUACCCAUGAGAUGCAAAAGAAAGUCAACCAAAAGCAAACAAACUAUGGAGGUAAUGUUGCUUCAGAGAAAAGACUUAAGUUGUUAAAUAUCUUGUAAGAUUUUAGGAAUAUAUAAACACAUAACAAUAAAAAUCAGAAGAUUACAACAAAUAAAUAAAUAAACAAUUCGAAAUAAGAUAACGUCUUAACUGAUAAUAAAUGUUAAAACGUGUAGCAGUCCUUAAGUUUCAGGAAAAAGAUAGAAUGUUGUUUCAAUCAGAAACACUCUACUUAGUAGUGGAUCUAGAAAUGGUCAUAAGGGACCCACUGACUGCCAUAAAAGGGGACCGUCUCAAGUCAUGCUUCUUUGGUCCCUUGAUAAUAAACAAAAUUUGUCUAACAAAUGGGGAGGGUUGGUCACCCGUCCUUCCUCUUAAUCCACCUUUUAAGAUAUAUUUUGUUUAAAUAUGUCUAAUCAUCUACAAUUUUAAUCAAGAAAUACUUUAUAUUACAUAUACGAAUGCAGCAAUUUAUUUAAAACUCUAAACGAUAUGACUUUGUUUGAACUGAUUUAACUUUACCGUUAUUGGUUUUGAUAUAACUUGAUAGUGUUGCCUUGAUUUAAACACAUUAUGAAGUCCCUGUUCUUAGUUUGUCACUUUUCAAUAAUGCAGGUAUGUAUUCUAUGCUUUUUUAAACAUUAACAUAAACUUUUAAUUCAUUGCAUAUACAUUUUUAAUCCAUUAGUGAAUCUAUGUUAUCGUUUCUUUUCUAUAGGCAUCAGCAACCCAGACAGUUAUUUCGAUGAAAUCUAUUUUGCAUAAAGAAAACAACGUACUGAUGUAGAACGUUUUCCGUACCAUGGAAGUCGUAAUAAGUAUAUAUAACCGGAAG
RNAcentral lists this long non-coding RNA (1914 nucleotides) under Mytilus galloprovincialis (Mediterranean mussel). Lineage: Eukaryota; Metazoa; Mollusca; Bivalvia; Mytilida; Mytilidae. The record is from RNAcentral.